UGGAGACACUAAUACAAAGAUGUGGGUGCUCAUUAGAGAAAUGAGUUCACUGAAUUGACCUACAAAAAGAAAUCUUAUGAAGUCUUACUUACAUGUCAAAAGAUGACUCUCUUAGUGGGAGUUGUGCAACUAAUCCUUUGACCUGAGAUCACCAUAGUAUCCUGUGCACAUAAAUCCAUAUUUUGGUUUCCACUUGUGGAGUGAUUGAUUAUAACCCUAUUUGAUUUUGAUGAGCACAAAGCCAUUGAGUAUAUUUUAUGUUAUACUAAUGAAUUCAAUCCAGCAUAUCAGGCAAAAUUUGUAAGA
Molecule: long non-coding RNA, 306 nt
Filed under: Phoenix dactylifera (date palm)
Lineage: Eukaryota; Viridiplantae; Streptophyta; Magnoliopsida; Arecales; Arecaceae
Description: long non-coding RNA (PDAC_LNC011288)
Source: RNAcentral